Patella vulgata (common limpet) is the source of this 1397-nucleotide long non-coding RNA. RefSeq lists it as uncharacterized. The transcript has 7 exons. Lineage: Eukaryota; Metazoa; Mollusca; Gastropoda; Patellidae. The record is from RefSeq and is a predicted model, not a curated record.
CAUCACACUUCGUCGCCUCGAUCCACCCCAACAUGUUGUAUCAAAUUAACCAAGAUCCCGUGAAUGUUUUAGGCCAUCGAAUUUGGGUCCCAGCGUAGUUCCCGAAAGUCUGCGAUGGUUGGCUACCAAAGGCAAAAUAGAAGAGGCAAAAUAGAAGAGGCAAAAGUAGUUGUUGAUGAAAUUGCUCGAUUUAACGGAACAACAGUUCCUGAUAAUACCCUUGCUAUUCUAAUAAAGGUGGCUGAGAUGGAACGUCGGAAUAACCAGGGAGAAAAGAGGUAUACAUAUAUAGAUAUCUACAGAGGAGUUCCAAUGUUUAAAAAGAGUUUUUGUAUACAGUACAUCUGGAUGUCCUGUUCUGCAAUUUAUUAUGGAUUUGCCUUUGGAAUCAGCAACUUUUCUGGUAAUUUUUACUUAAAUUUUUUCCUGAUGAACAUCAUUGAAAUAUCGGGCAUUGCUCCAGUCAUCUACCUUUUAGGAAAGAUAGGAAGAAGGUACACCUGUGCCUUUGCUUUGUUCCUAGCUGCAGCAUCUUGUAUUGCUGCAUUGAUAACACAAGAAGUUAAUGAUGAAUCCAAGAGUUCUUUUUUAUUACUGGAGUUUCCCGUUUUGCCAGAGUAUUGACUGGUUCAGCAUGGACGGCUUUAAUUCUACUGACUAAUGAAUCUUAUCCAACAGUCAUCAGAUAUUUCAUGGGUUAUGGCCCAGGUAACACCAUGGCUCGCAUAGGUGGAAUCCUGGCUCCUUUUAUCUUCAGUUUGGGAAGUCAUAGAAUGGUACCUUACGUUAUAAUGGCCGUACUUAUGGUAUCGAGUGGUAUAUGUGGACUACUGCUACAGGAAACUAAAGAUUUGGCUUUGGCUGAUCUGAUCAAAAACGAUGUGGUAAAAGAUAUACGAGAACGACGAAAAUCUAGCGUAUAUAAUAUUUCUGGAGGUUUGGAAUCAAACGAGACGUCAGUUCAGUGUGGAGAAAAACCGGCUAAGGUUCUUAAAGACAUUGAAUACAGUACUCAGAUGUAAAAGAAAUGACACAUAUUUUGUGGGUGUGUUUUUAAAAUCCAGGCACGAUUACUGUCAUAAACUUAACAGAAUGUCAAGCUUAUUGUAUUCAUAUGUAUUCGUAUUUAUAUUUUAAUAUUCAUCAACAAUAGUUAAUUUAAUAUGUCACUUUUAGUAAGAAAACUUGCUUUGCAAUAUAUCUGAAAAAUAAAAACCUGGAAUACUUGUCGGGCUGGUUUUCUUAACAUUUUCUGAUUUCAGCCUACUUCUAUAGACAUUAAAAAGGAUAUACCAUGUUAGUCCCCAAAUGACAUAAAAUGAAACAUUUCUUGUGUGUGUUUAGCUGUAGAAAUAAUCCUUACGGGUGAUGCCCGUGGUAUAAUGUAUUGAAUUGUA